This 85-nucleotide transfer RNA is filed under the name Kiloniella spongiae. RNAcentral describes it as "tRNA-Leu". It matches the Rfam family "tRNA". Rfam says of the family: Transfer RNA (tRNA) molecules are approximately 80 nucleotides in length. Their secondary structure includes four short double-helical elements and three loops (D, anti-codon, and T loops). RNAcentral also lists the same sequence under 1 other name. The record is from RNAcentral. Lineage: Bacteria; Pseudomonadati; Pseudomonadota; Alphaproteobacteria; Rhodospirillales; Kiloniellaceae.
GCGGGUGUGGCGGAAUUGGUAGACGCACCAGAUUUAGGUUCUGGCGCCGAGAGGCGUGGAGGUUCAAGUCCUCUCACCCGCACCA